Molecule: ribosomal RNA, 252 nt
Filed under: uncultured bacterium
Lineage: Bacteria
Description: partial 16S ribosomal RNA
Rfam family: Bacterial small subunit ribosomal RNA
Source: RNAcentral
UACGAAGGGGGCUAGCGUUGCUCGGAAUGACUGGGCGUAAAGGGCGCGUAGGCGGUUCACGCAGUCAGAUGUGAAAUUCCUGGGCUCAACCUGGGGGCUGCAUUUGAUACACGUGGACUGGAGUGGGGAAGAGGGUCGUGGAAUUCCCAGUGUAGAGGUGAAAUUCGUAGAUAUUGGGAAGAACACCGGUGGCGAAGGCGGCGACCUGGUCCUUGACUGACGCUGAGGCGCGAAAGCGUGGGGAGCAAACAG